This 253-nucleotide ribosomal RNA is filed under the name uncultured bacterium. Its description in RNAcentral is "partial 16S ribosomal RNA". It matches the Rfam family "Bacterial small subunit ribosomal RNA", at positions 524 to 776 of the family's 1533-position model. The record is from RNAcentral.
UACGUAGGGACCAAGCGUUGUUCGGAUUUACUGGGCGUAAAGCGCGCGUAGGCGGCUUGGCAAGUCGGAUGUGAAAUCCCUCGGCUCAACCAAGGAAGUGCAUCCGAAACUGCUGAGCUUGAGUACUUAAGAGGAUCGCGGAAUUCCCGGUGUAGAGGUGAAAUUCGUAGAUAUCGGGAGGAACACCAGUGGCGAAGGCGGCGAUCUGGGAAGAUACUGACGCUGAGGUGCGAAAGCGUGGGGAGCAAACAGG